Molecule: ribosomal RNA, 301 nt
Filed under: uncultured bacterium
Lineage: Bacteria
Description: partial 16S ribosomal RNA
Rfam family: Bacterial small subunit ribosomal RNA
Source: RNAcentral
CAGUAGCCGCGGUAAUACGGAGGGUGCAAGCGUUAAUCGGAAUUACUGGGCGUAAAGCGCACGCAGGCGGUCUGUCAAGUCGGAUGUGAAAUCCCCGGGCUCAACCUGGGAACUGCAUUCGAAACUGGCAGGCUAGAGUCUUGUAGAGGGGGGUAGAAUUCCAGGUGUAGCGGUGAAAUGCGUAGAGAUCUGGAGGAAUACCGGUGGCGAAGGCGGCCCCCUGGACAAAGACUGACGCUCAGGUGCGAAAGCGUGGGGAGCAAACAGGAUUAGAUACCCGUGUAGUCCCUGUCUCUUAUAC